RNAcentral lists this non-coding RNA (45 nucleotides) under Echinostoma caproni. The record is from RNAcentral. Lineage: Eukaryota; Metazoa; Platyhelminthes; Trematoda; Plagiorchiida; Echinostomatidae.
ACACUGCUGAUAAGUCCCAAACAGGACGAAACAGCUGUUCAGUGC